GCAGUCGAGCGGCAGCGGGGGUGCUUGCACCUGCCGGCGAGCGGCGAACGGGUGAGUAAUACAUCGGAACGUACCCAUGUGGUGGGGGAUAACUACUCGAAAGAGUAGCUAAUACCGCAUACGCCCUGAGGGGGAAAGCGGGGGAUUCUUCGGAACCUCGCGCCAUUGGAGCGGCCGAUGUCGGAUUAGCUAGUAGGUGGGGUAAAGGCUCACCUAGGCGACGAUCCGUAGCUGGUCUGAGAGGAUGAUCAGCCACACUGGGACUGAGACACGGCCCAGACUCCUACGGGAGGCAGCAGUGGGGAAUUUUGGACAAUGGGCGCAAGCCUGAUCCAGCCAUGCCGCGUGAGUGAAGAAGGCCUUCGGGUUGUAAAGCUCUUUCAGUCGGGAAGAAAAGGCGCGCUCUAACAUAGCGCGCUCAUGACGGUACCGACAGAAGAAGCACCGGCUAACUACGUGCCAGCAGCCGCGGUAAUACGUAGGGUGCGAGCGUUAAUCGGAAUUACUGGGCGUAAAGCGUGCGCAGGCGGUUGUGUAAGACAGGUGUGAAAUCCCCGGGCUUAACCUGGGAACUGCGCUUGUGACUGCACGGCUAGAGUACGGCAGAGGGGGGUGGAAUUCCACGUGUAGCAGUGAAAUGCGUA
RNAcentral lists this ribosomal RNA (644 nucleotides) under bacterium SL4.5. Its description in RNAcentral is "bacterial SSU rRNA". It matches the Rfam family "Bacterial small subunit ribosomal RNA", at positions 57 to 692 of the family's 1533-position model. The record is from RNAcentral.